UUGCUAUAUCAAGAGUUGGGACAACCCAUGCCAACCUGUGUACCCGCACAAGGUGGAUUCAAGAUAUGGCCAUCUGGCAAUCAAUGGGAUCAUC
This 94-nucleotide non-coding RNA is filed under the name Alcaligenes sp. RNAcentral's name for it is "SAM-I-IV sequence". It matches the Rfam family "SAM-I/IV (S-adenosyl methionine) riboswitch aptamer". From Rfam's summary of the family: It is found upstream of a number of genes which code for proteins involved in methionine or cysteine biosynthesis. It has been found mostly in the order Actinomycetales. Lineage: Bacteria; Pseudomonadati; Pseudomonadota; Betaproteobacteria; Burkholderiales; Alcaligenaceae. The record is from RNAcentral. RNAcentral also lists the same sequence under 1 other name.